RNAcentral lists this ribosomal RNA (279 nucleotides) under uncultured beta proteobacterium. RNAcentral's name for it is "partial 16S ribosomal RNA". It matches the Rfam family "Bacterial small subunit ribosomal RNA", at positions 356 to 627 of the family's 1533-position model. Lineage: Bacteria; Pseudomonadati; Pseudomonadota; Betaproteobacteria. The record is from RNAcentral.
GGGGAAUUUUGGACAAUGGGCGAAAGCCUGAUCCAGCCAUUCCGCGUGCAGGACGAAGGCCUUCGGGUUGUAAACUGCUUUUGUACGGAACGAAAAGGUCUCUGUUAAUACCAGGGGCUGAUGACGGUACCGUAAGAAUAAGCACCGGCUAACUACGUGCCAGCAGCCGCGGUAAUACGUAGGGUGCGAGCGUUAAUCGGAAUUACUGGGCGUAAAGCGUGCGCAGGCGGUCUUGUAAGACAGAUGUGAAAUCCCCGGGCUCAACCUGGGAACUGCAUU